This 253-nucleotide ribosomal RNA is filed under the name uncultured bacterium. RNAcentral's name for it is "partial 16S ribosomal RNA". It matches the Rfam family "Bacterial small subunit ribosomal RNA", at positions 524 to 776 of the family's 1533-position model. The record is from RNAcentral.
UACGAACUGUGCGAACGUUAUUCGGAAUCACUGGGCUUACAGGGUGCGUAGGCGGCUAUUCAGGUCAGACGUGAAAUCCCCCGGCUUAACCUGGGAACUGCGUCUGAUACUGGAAGGCUCGAGUUUGGGAGAGGGAUGUGGAAUUCCAGGUGUAGCGGUGAAAUGCGUAGAUAUCUGGAGGAACACCGGUGGCGAAGGCGGCAUCCUGGACCAACACUGACGCUGAGGCGCGAAAGCUAGGGUAGCAAACGGG